GGACUACAAGGGUAUCUAAUCCUGUUUGCUCCCCUAGCUUUCGUGCCUCAGUGUCAGGAGUUGUCCAGGGACUCGCCUUCGCCACUGGUGUUCCGCUUGAUAUCUACGCAUUUCACUGCUACACCAAGCAUUCCAGUCCCCCCUCCAACCCUCGAGCAAGGUAGUUUCCAAUGCAGUUUCCGAGUUGAGCUCGGAGAUUUCACAUCCGACUUACCUCACCACCUACGCACCCUUUACGCCCAGUGAAUCCGAACAACGCUUGGGACCUCUGUAUUACCGCGGCUGCUGGCAC
This 292-nucleotide ribosomal RNA is filed under the name uncultured Verrucomicrobiota bacterium. RNAcentral's name for it is "uncultured Verrucomicrobia bacterium partial 16S ribosomal RNA". The record is from RNAcentral. Lineage: Bacteria; Pseudomonadati; Verrucomicrobiota.